GCCUGCAGUAGCACUCUGAUGUGAAGGACAGAGAAAUUGUGGGCGAGUUGACAAAUCAUAAAAAGAAUGGUAUAAAAAUUAAGUCAUAAGUGCCGCUUCGCGAUAACGUUUUCCGACGGCCCUGCUGUAGACUACCUAUCUGUUGCAUUUCUACUCUGCCACUUGGAAGGUCGCUUUAAGUUUUCAAAAAAGAAGACGCAAGUUUUCACGAUGGGCACAAUGACAGAAAAAAAUACGAUAAAGCGAAGUGUGUCAAUGCUCGCGCCUCAUCCGCCUGCGGGGAGACCAGACACCUGCACCCAAGCGUCGCACUUUGCUUUCGUUCUCGUUUAAAAGGAACAUUAUGCAAGAUUGACUUUUCUUAGUUGAACCCGAUGGCUGAAUCUUGCGGAGACCUCCCAAACACCCCAGAGCUUCCUGCCCUGCUUUGCUGAUGCUGCAACGGUACUGUGCUGGACCUCUCUCCUCUUCAGGGAAGCUGUACUCUUGUAUGGAUGUAUAAAAUACUGCCAACUGUAUUGCUAAAGUGCAAACUUUCAAAAUAUCCACGUAUUGCUUCUCCCUCCUGUUGGAAGUCAACUGUAGCCUGUUCUUGUGUGUAUGUAGGAAAUACCACCUACUGUAACUGUAUUGCUAGAGUCAAAGCUUGCGGAAUUUCUCCAAGACCCCAUCCUCCUUGUUUCCCUGUUAAUGUUUUUUUUUUUUUUAUCACUAAUGAUUUGGUUUCUGAAUUCUACAUUAGACCAGACCACAACCUCUGCUGUUGAAUUGUUUUUAAUGUGACAGACAUGCAUGCAAAAGUGAAGUGAGAUAAAGGACCGUUUCUUUCUCUCUCCAACCCGUGACCUAGGUAACCUGUGACUUCCCUACAUCCUACUUUCGUAACAAGCUGAUCUCACGCCAGGCCAUCGCGUUGCUCUUCAAGCCACAAAUAGCCUGCAACACCUAUGUGCAGACAGUGACCUCUUCUGGUAGAAUGAAGACAAGUUGAAUGACCUCAUACACACUGAACAAAACACUCAAUUGCUCCCCCCAGAAGCUGGUUUCCUACGGUGGUUUAGAUGUGUGUUCGCUGUUCUAGCACCAUAUGAAAUCAGUGUUCUGGAAGGUAGAACAGCAGCUCAUGGAAACGGACCAAGCCAUAGUUAAGAAAGUGAGAAAUUGACAUAGUGUGUUGUUGCAUGUGUUUUGUCUGUGUAUACGGUAGGUACAAUGACAAGUGUUCUUUGAGUGGUUUUCUAAUAGUGUUCUUACUGUUUGGAGCUACAUUCUGUAUUGACUUCUAAUUUGUUAGUACACCAAAUAUAAUUGUGCCUCCAUCAGUAUGUAUGACUCUAUUAUUUACAGGGAAGGAUUAAUUCAGGGGAUUACCGGGGUUGAAGCCCUUGGGCCUAAAAAAAAUCUAAUAAUAAAUAUAUACAGUACCAGUCAAAAGUUUGGACACACCUACUCAUUUCAGGGUUUUUUUUAUUUUUACUAUUUUCUACAUUGUAGAAUAAUAGUGAGACAUCGAAUCUAUGAAAUACCACAUAUGGAAUCAAGUAGUAACCAAAAAACUGCUACACAAAUCAAAAUAUGUAUUAUAUUUGAGAUUCUUCAAAGUAACCACCCUUUGCCUUGAUGACAGCUUUGCACAAUCUUGGCAUUCUCUCAACCAGCUUCAUGAGGUAGGUCACCUGGAAUGGAUAUCAAUUAACAGCCAUGCCUUGUUAAUUUGUGGAAUUUCUUUCCUUUUUAAUGCGUUUGAGACAAUCAGAUGUGCUGUGACAAGGUAGGGGUGGUAUACAGAAAAUAGCCCUAUUUAGUAAAAUACCUAGUCCGUGUUAUGGCAAGAACAGCUUAAAUAAGCAAAGAGAAACGUCAGUCCGUUACUUUAAGACAUAAAGGUCAGUCAAUCCGGAAAUGUCAAGAACUUUGAAAGUUUCUUCAAGUGCCGUCGCAAAAACCAUCAAGCGCUAUGAUGAAACUGGCUCUCAUGUGGACCGCCACAGGAAAGGAAGACCCAGAGUUACUUCUUCUGUAGAGGAUAAGUUCAUAGUAAAAAUUAAGAAAAACCCUUGAAUGAAUAGGUGUGUCCAAACGUUUGACUUACUGUAUGUGUUGGCACCCUAGGGACACGCAAUACUCAUGAAGCACAUUUUUUACUUUCAUUAUUAUUAAAAAACACAAAAUACCAUCAAAAGCCUCCAACAUUUUUAAAAAUACUGCGAUACGAUAUUUUGUCCAUAUCGCCCAGCCCUCCACCGGGCUUGAGGGCACACACUUUGCUGUUGGCUUAGAUUGAAGAGGUGGCAAUAUCGUCCACUAUCACCCUCAGUCAUCUUCCAUCCAUGUUUUCAGACCCAGGUGGCUUGUAAUUGUUGACAGACAACAAAACAUUUUUUUUUUUACCUCUUCCACACUCACUUUACGGAAUUCAAUAUUACAAUGUAUUCCAUAAUUUGGUCUGUUAUGGAUGGAUAGGUUCAGCGUUUGUUGGCAAUAUCAGUGGGUUUUGUGAUGAAUGAGCCAUCAGAUUCAUUGAAGGAGUUUGACUUUUUGCCCAUAGUGUAAUUUAAGGUGCUCCAAAGCUUUUUGCUAAGCUUCUUUAUAUAAUUUCUUUGUUUCAUAUCACAGUUUUUUUUGUUUAGAUUAGUCCCGUGAUUUCUCAGUUUUAAAGUACAUUUGACAAUCAGCUGUUCAGCCAGACUUAUUCGCCAUUCAUUCUGCCUUGUCCCUCUCAACCAUACAAUUUUUAAAUUCCUCAUCAAUCCACAGGGAUUUAAACAGUUUUUACAGACAUUUUCUUAAUGGAUGAAUUCUUAUUAGUAACUGGAAUAAGCAAUUUCAUAAAUAUGUCAAGUGCAGUGUCUCGUUGUUCCUCAUUAUACACAACAUACCAGCCAAUAUUCAUUUAUCUUCAACAUAUGAAUCAGUACAAAACCUCUUGUAUGAUCUCUUAUACACUAUAUUAGGCCCAACCUUUGGAACUUUGGUUUUUCUAGAUAUGGCUACCAUAUUAGGAUCACUACAUCAGAUAAAUGUGGAUACUGCUUUAGAGCAGAUUUCUGCAGCAUUAGUAAAGAUGUGAUCAAUAUAUUUGGAUGAUUUCAUUCCUGUGCUGUUUGUAUCGUGGUAUAUGAUAUCCCGAACCUGGUUUCAGGGACUGGUUAUAGUAUGAAGCUUGAAAGCCAUUCAAUAUUUGGGUCACCCUGAACAAAUUACCUCUCUGUUGAUAUCACACACACACACAUUAUCAAACAUUUCACACAUACAAUGCUCAAAAAAAUAAAGGGAACACUUAAACAACACAAUGUAACUCCAAGUCAAUCACACUUCUGUGAAAUCAAACUGUCCACUUAGGAAGCAACACUGAUUGACAAUGAAUUUCACAUGCUGUUGUGCAAAUGGAAUAGACAACAGGUGGAAAUUAUAGGCAAUUAGCAAGACACCCCCAAUAAAGGAGUGGUUCUGCAGGUGAUAACCACAGACCACUUCUCAGUUCCUAUGCUUCCUGGCUGAAUUUUUGGUCACUUUUGAAUGCUGGCGGUGCUUUCACUCUAGUGGUAGCAUGAAACGGAGUCUACUACCCACACAAGUGGCUCAGGUAGUGCAGCUCAUCCAGGAUGGCACAUCAAUGCGAGCUGUGGCAAGAAGGUUUGCUGUGUCUGUCAGCUUAGUAUCCAGAGCAUGGAGGCGCUACCAGGAGACAGGCCAGUACAUCAGAAGACGUGGAGGAGGCCAACAACCCAGCAGCAGGACCGCUACCUCCGCCUUUGUGCAAGGAGUAGUAGGAGGAGCACUGCCAGAGCCGUGCAAAAUGACCUCCAGCAGGCCACAAAUGUGCAUGUGUCUGCUCAAACGGUCAGAAACAGACUCCAUGAGGGUGGUAUGAGGGCCCGACGUCCACAGGUGGGGGUUGUGCUUACAGCCCAACACCGUGCAGGACGUUUGGCAUUUGCCAGAGAACACCAAGAUUGGCAAAUUCGCCACUGGCGCCCUGUGCUCUUCACAGAUGAAAACAGGUUAACACUGAGCACAUGUGACAGACGUGACAGUCUGGAGAUGCCGUGGAGAAUGUUCUGCUGCCUGCAACAUCCUCCAGGAUGACCGGUUUGGCGGUGGGUCAGUCAUGGUGUGGGGUGGCAUUUCUUUGGCAUUUCCUCCAUGUGCUCGCCAGAGGUAGCCUGUGCCAUUAGGUACCGAGAUGAGAUCCUCAGACCCCUUGUGAGACCAUAUGCUGGUGCUGUUGGCCCUGGGUUUUUGUGUGAUUUUGUUGUGAGCACAUUCAACUAUGUAAAGAAAAAAGUAUUUAAGAAGAAUAUUUCAUUCAUUCAGAUCUAGGAUGUGUUAUUUUAGUGUUCCCUUUAUUUUUUUGAGCAGUGUAUUAUCCAGAUACUGACUGUUAGCACUUGUUGAUCUAUAGCAAUUUCACACAAUAAUAGCUGUGAGUCUUUCUGGAUACGUCUCUAAGAGCUUUGCACGCCUAGAUUCUUUUCAAAAUUCUUCAAGCUUUUUUUUUAAAUUGGUCGUUGAUCAUUGCAAGACAAUCAUUUUCAAGUCUUGCCAUAGAUUUUCAAGCAGGUUUAAGUCAGAACUGUAACUCGGCCACUCAGGAACAUUCACUGUCUUCUUGGUAAGCAACUCCAGUGUAGACUUGGUCUUGUGUUUUAGGUUAUUGUCCUGCUGAACGGUGAAUUCAUCUCCCAGUGUCUGGUGGAAACCUGACUGAACCAGAUUUUCCUCUAGGAUUUGGCCUGAGCUUAGCUUCAUUCCAAUUCAUUUUUAUACUGAAAAACAGUCCUUAAAGAUUACACUAUAAGCAUACCCAUAACAUGAUGCAGCCACCACUAUGCUUGAUAUGGAGAAUGGUACUCCGUAAUAUGUUGUAUUGGAUUUGCCGCAAACAUAAAAUGUUGUAUUCGGGACAAAAAGGGAAAUUCUUUGCAACAUUUUUUGCAGCAUUACUUUAGUGCCUUAUUGCAAACAGGAUGCAUGUUUGGAAUAUUUUUAUUCUGUACAGGCUUCCUUCUUUUUACUCUGUCAAUUAGGUUAGUAUUGUAGAGUAACUACAAUGUUGUUAAAACAAUCAGUUUUCUCCCAUCACAGCCAUUAAACGCUGUAAUUGCUUUAAAGUCACCAUUGGCUUCCUGGUGAAAUCCCUGAGCAGUUUCCUUCUCCGGCAACUGAGUUAGGAAGGACGCCUGUAUCUUUGUAGUGACUGGAUGUAUUGAUACACCGCCCAAAGUGUCAUUAAUUACUUCACCAUGCUCAAAGGGCUAUUCAUUGUCAGAUUCCCCCCCAUCUAUAAAUAGCUGCCCUUCUUUGUGAGGCACUGGAAAACAUCCCUGGUCUUUCUGGUUGAAUCUGUGUUUGAAAGUCACUGCUAGACUGAGGGACCUUACAGAUAAUUGUAUGUGUGGGGUACAGAGAUGAGGUAGCCAUUCAAAAAUCAUCAUUAAACACUAUUUUGCACGCAGAUUGAGACCAUGCAACUUAUUAUGUGACUUGUUUAGUAAAUGUUUACUCCUGAACUUAUUUAGGCUUGCCAUAACAAAAGGCGUUUACUACUUAUUCACUCAAGACAUCUCAGCUUUUCAUUUUUUAUUAUUUUGUAAAUAUUUUGAUAAACAUAAUUCCAAUUUGACAGUAUGGGUUAUGGUGUGUAAGCCAGUGACACAAAAUAUGAAUAUAAUCCAUUUUAAAUUCAGGCUGUAACACAACAAAAUGUGGGGAAAAGCCAUAGGUCAGAAUACUUUCUGAAGGCACUGUAUGCUAAUGUGACCUCAGUAAAAAAAGAACGUCCUCUCACUGUCAACUGCGUUUAUUAUCGGCAAACAUAACGUGUAAAUAUUUUUAUACACAUUAGAUUCAACAACUGAGACAACCUUGUGACUAACAGAAAUGGAAUAAUGUUUCCCUGAACAAAGAGGGGGUCAAAAUCAAAAGUAACAGUCAGUAUCUGGUGUGGCCACCAGCUGCAUUAAGUACUGCAGUGCAUCUCCUCCUCAUGGACUGCACCAGAUACGCCAGUUCUUGCUGUGAGAUGUUACCCCACCUAUAGGGAGGAGGUCUCUGACUCUAGAUUUGUGCUAUGGGACAAUACCAAAGGCUUUCUCUGCCACCAUCAGACCCCCCUGGAGACAUCAGACCACGAUGUGGUCUACCUCAGGCCAACCUACUGUCGCCUCCUGGAGAGGGAGAAACCCACAGUUAAAACUACUUCAGGCCAACCUACUGCUGGCUCCUGGAGAGGGAGAAACCCACAGUUAAAACUACCUCAGGCCAACCUACUGUCGGCUCCUGGAGAGGGAGAAACCCACAGUUAAAACUACCUCAGGCCAACCUACUGUCGGCUCCUGGAGAGGGAGAAACCCACAGUUAAAACUACCUCAGGCCAACCUACUGUCGGCUCCUGGAGAGGGAGAAACCCACAGUUAAAACUACCUCAGGCCAACCUACUGCCGGCUCCUGGAGAGGGAGAAACCCACAGUUAAAACUACCUCAGGCCAACCUACUGUCGGCUCCUGGAGAGGGAGAAAUCCACAGUUAAAACUACCUCAGGCCAAUGACAACAGUAUCACCUGUCUCCAGGGGUGAUUUGACUGUACUAUGUGGGAGGUAUUUGGUCUCCAGGGGUGAUUUGACUGUACUAUGUGGGAGGUAUUUGGUCUCCAGGGGUGUUUUGACUGUACUAUGUGGGAGGUAUCUGGUCUCCAGGGGUAAUUUGACUGUACUAUGUGGGAGGUAUUUGGUCUCCAGGGGUGUUUUGACUACUAUGUGGGAGGUAUUUGGUCUCCAGGGGUGUUUUGACUGUACUAUGUGGGAGGUAUUUGGUCUCCAGGGGUGUUUUGACUGUACUAUGUGGGAGGUAUUUGGUCUCCAGGGGUGUUUUGACUGUAGUAUGUGGGAGGUAUUUGAGGACAGCAGCUCUAAUCUUGAUGAACUCACAGAUGUGAUUUCAGGCUAUAUAAACUUCUGUGUUGAGUCAGUUGUGCCUACUAAGACCUGUAAAAUCUUCCCUAACAACAAGCCUUGGGUAUCAAAACAUCUAAAAUCACUACUUGAUAGGAAGACCAGUUUAUGCUUGGGGUGAUAGACAGGCUUUAAGAGAUGUACAACGUGAGAUCAAAAGACAGAUACUGGUGGACAAGGAGGCACACAAGUAAAGGGUGGAGAGGAGCCUCUCCUCAGGAAACUCAGGGGUGGCUGGCAAGGGAUUAAAUCCAUGGCUAAUGCCCCCCACAUAGGCAGGGGAAAAACCAGUGCUGACCUUGGGGGAUAUGGCUAAUGAACUGAAUGUUUUCUUCUCAAGAUUUGAAUCAGACAACUUUGUGUCGGAGGUAAAAACAAAUGGAUGCAUCAUUUCAAAUGUUUGAGAGAGUUGUUGUUAAACAAUCUGAUGUUUUAAAGUUGUUCAGGGGAUAUAACACAUACAAAAGCCCAGGCAAAAUAAGUGGUUAUGUGUUAAAGCACUGUGCUGAACAAAUUGGCUGGUGUUUUUAUAGACAUUUUCAAAUGCUCCUUCGACCAGCAACACGUUCCAGUAUUGUGGAAAAAAUCAAUAAUUAUACCAAUUCCUAAAGCAUCUAAUCCCUCUGUGCUGAAUGACUACCACCCUGUCGCCUUGACAUCCUUAGUAAUGCAAUGCCUUGAGAAAAUAGUUGAAAAGUAAUAUUCUCAGUGUCACCCAGAAGCUUUUCGACCCAUUUCAGUUUGCCUAUCAGCCUAGCAGAGGAGUUGAUGAUGCCAUUCUUAACCUCCUUAACAUGGUCUAUAGACAUCUAGAGGGUGCUAAAUCCCAUGUCAGGGUUCUGUUUGUUGACUUUUCUUCUGCCUUCAACACAAUCCAUCCAGCCUUACAUUCUGGCACAGAGACUCAUUCGGGACUUCUCCUUAGGUGGGGGGGCUGGUUUUAUGGCUGUUGGACUCAAAAUAGAUCCCCACGUGUCGGAUAUACGCAAUAACAACACAGGCUCUCCUCAGGGAGGUGUUUAGUCCCCACUUCUGUACAUCUUGUACACUAACAGUUGUACUAGUUCCCAUACUGACAGACACCUUUUAAUGUAGACUGUAUUAUAUUGACUCUGUUUUACAAAUCUUUUAUUGAGAGUAUUUUAACUUUUUGUAUUGUUUGUUGGUUUGGCAAUGCCACUGUCAGCCAGAGAAAUAUGCUGGGAAGGAUUAUUGCCACAGCAAGCAAGGUACUUGGAGUCAAACAGACAGGCCUGGAUGAGAUCUUUAAGGUCAGGGCCGUCCGUAAGGCUCACAAAAUCAUUUUAGACCCAAGCCACCCCCUGUACCUGGACUUUGAACAACUCCCCUCUGGGCGCAGGUAUAGGGCACCCCUCAGCAGGAAAAACAGAACGAGACAAUCAUUUGUGCCAGGUGUGAUAUCCCUCCUAAAUAGCUCGGGCGAAUGUUCCCAUCGACUCCGUAAGGCCAGCAGCCUAGUCUUUUCUUUUUUUUUAUGUUUUAUUUCUUACUUCUUCUUAUUAUUAUUUUUUGGUACGUAACUGCUAUGAACGUUGUAUUGUCAAUUUUGUUUUGUAUUUAAAUGCCACUUUAAAUGUGUACAUGACACUGCAACAAAAUUUCCCCAUGGGGACAAUAAAGUCAGUAAGUACGCAAAUUGGAGUGGGUCUAGGGUUUCUGGGAUAAUGGUGUUGAUGUGAGCCAUUACCAGCAUUUCAAAGCACUUUAUGGCGACAGAGGUGAGUGCUACGGGUGAGUAGUCAUUUAGGCAGGUUGCCUUUGUGUUCUUGGGCACAGGGACUAUGGUGGUCUUCUUGAAGCAUGUUGGUAUUACAGACUCAAUCAGGGACAUGUUGAAAACGUCACCUGCCAGUUGGUCAGCACAUGCCCGGAGCACACGUCCUGGUAAUCCGUCUGGCCCCGCAGCCUUGUGUAUGUUGACCUGUUUAAAUGUCUUACCCGCGUCGACUACGGAGAGCGUGAUCACACAGUCGUCCGGAAAAAGCUGAUGCUCUCAUCAUGCAUGCCUCAGUGAAGCUUGCCUCGAAGCGAGCAUAGAAAUUAUUUAGCUCAUCUGGUAGGCUCGUGUCACUGGGCAGCUCGCGACUGUGCUUCCCUUUGU
Long non-coding RNA from Oncorhynchus keta (chum salmon), 9076 nucleotides. RefSeq lists it as uncharacterized. The transcript has 3 exons. The record is from RefSeq and is a predicted model, not a curated record. Lineage: Eukaryota; Metazoa; Chordata; Actinopteri; Salmoniformes; Salmonidae.